UAAUGAACUGGUUUAAAUGUUAUUUUAUUUAAAAUUACAUAAGAAUAGAUCUUAACUACCUAGGAGAUCUAGCCAGCAUUGAAAGGGUUAUUCUAACUGUCUGCUAAACUUUACGACCUUACGCUGCACUCUGAGGAAUUCUGUUCUUCGCUGUGAAAAGUUUCACUUUCAGUCUGUGUUAAAGAUAGUCAUAAAUAAAGACUUGACAGAAAAUGCUGUUCAGAGUUAAUAGCCAUUGAAACGUAAUACCCAUUCCUUUGUAUUGCAUAUCAUUUUAUACUGAAUAUUCAUUGAUUA
Non-coding RNA from Pelobates cultripes (western spadefoot toad), 297 nucleotides. NCBI's taxonomy places the organism in Eukaryota, Metazoa, Chordata, Amphibia, Anura, Pelobatidae. The record is from the annotation of a GenBank genome assembly.